CGGACGGGUGAGUAAUGCUUGGGAAUCUGGCUUAUGGAGGGGGAUAACUGUGGGAAACUGCAGCUAAUACCGCGUAUUCUCUGAGGAGGAAAGGGUGGGACCUUAGGGCCGCCUGCCAUAAGAUGAGCCCAAGUGGAUUAGGUAGUUGGUGGGGUAAAGGCCUACCAAGCCUGCGAUCUCUAGCUGGUCUGAGAGGAUGACCAGCCACACUGGAACUGAGACACGGUCCAGACUCCUACGGGAGGCAGCAGUGGGGAAUAUUGCGCAAUGGGGGGAACCCUGACGCAGCCAUGCCGCGUGAAUGAAGAAGGCCUUCGGGUUGUAAAGUUCUUUCGGUAAUGAGGAAGGGAUGUUGUUAAAUAGAUAGCAUCAUUGACGUUAAUUACAGAAGAAGCACCGGCUAACUCCGUGCCAGCAGCCGCGGUAAUACGGAGGGUGCGAGCGUUAAUCGGAAUAACUGGGCGUAAAGGGCACGCAGGCGGACUUUUAAGUGAGAUGCGAAAUCCCCGAGCUUAACUUGGGAACUGCAUUUCAGACUGGGAGUCUAGAGUACUUUAGGGAGGGGUAGAAUUCCACGUGUAGCGGUGAAAUGCGUAGAGAUGUGGAGGAAUACCGAAGGCGAAGGCAGCCCCUUGGGAAUGUACUGACGCUCAUGUGCGAAAGCGUGGGGAGCAAACAGGAUUAAAUACCCUGGUAGUCCACGCUGUAAACGCUGUCGAUUUGGGGAUUGGGCUAUAUGCUUGGUG
This 746-nucleotide ribosomal RNA is filed under the name uncultured Pasteurella sp. RNAcentral's name for it is "bacterial SSU rRNA". It matches the Rfam family "Bacterial small subunit ribosomal RNA", at positions 99 to 844 of the family's 1533-position model. The record is from RNAcentral. Lineage: Bacteria; Pseudomonadati; Pseudomonadota; Gammaproteobacteria; Pasteurellales; Pasteurellaceae.